RNAcentral lists this ribosomal RNA (558 nucleotides) under Triticum aestivum (bread wheat). Its description in RNAcentral is "partial small subunit ribosomal RNA". The record is from RNAcentral. Lineage: Eukaryota; Viridiplantae; Streptophyta; Magnoliopsida; Poales; Poaceae.
AUGGAGGUCAAAAAAGGACGCUAUAUGUCGCGGAUUGGAGGAGAUGGAUGGGCCCGUUUCCUCGCCCGCAUGCAUCUUACUGGUGAUGAUGAAGAUGACGAAGAUGAUGAAGAUAAUGAGGAUCCACUCGAUGAAGAUGAUGAGGACCCACUUCAUGAAGCCAUCGUAGCUCAAAGAAUGAGAUUGAGAAAGGAGGAGGUGUGCAACCUAUGGGACAUAAUUUCGCCACAUGCUGACUUUAUCGGGGUGCCAUUUGUGACCCUCCUGACAAGUACCAUGGUCGAUCGACAUGAUAUGAAAUUAGCAAAGAGCCUAUCUGUGAGUUAUGGUAUUGGGCCUGAUGAAGAAGGCUCAGUUGGAGUACGCCUUACCGCAAGGGGCUCCGUCACAACCUGUACUUACCGCGUGGAUACGGACGAUCACACACACUUAAACUCAGUUGGGAGGAAGAGAUUCCUCAAUGGCAAGAAUCUUUGUGUUGGACAGGCCAUCCUAAUUACUAUCAGGAACACCCACCGCCUAGGCCUAAGGAUGAUGAUCGUCUUCGAUAUCAUCUAG